UGGCAAUGUCUCCUUGCCAUUAUCGAUGGAGGCACUCGGUCACGCUGUGGGUGGACAACCUUAGACGCGAAGUCGUCGCUGGUGUGAUGUGAGGAGGGGUUAGAUGCCUC
RNAcentral lists this non-coding RNA (110 nucleotides) under Halalkalibacter krulwichiae. RNAcentral's name for it is "Bacillus krulwichiae epsC RNA". It matches the Rfam family "epsC RNA". Lineage: Bacteria; Bacillati; Bacillota; Bacilli; Caryophanales; Bacillaceae. The record is from RNAcentral.